Small nuclear RNA from Gopherus evgoodei (Goodes thornscrub tortoise), 116 nucleotides. Its record names the gene U5. It matches the Rfam family "U5 spliceosomal RNA". Rfam says of the family: U5 RNA is a component of both types of known spliceosome. Lineage: Eukaryota; Metazoa; Chordata; Testudines; Testudinidae. The record is from Ensembl.
GUACUCUGCUUUCUCUUCAGUUCGUAUAAAUCUUUCGCCUUUUACUAAAGAUUUCCGUGGAGAGGAACAUUUAUGAGUUUGUACCCAAUUUUUGGAGGCUUUGCUUUGGUGAGGCU